GCCUCUGUAGCUCAGUUGGUUAGAGCGCAUGACUGUUAAUCAUGAAGUCACAGGUUCAAGUCCUGUUAGGGGCGCCA
This 77-nucleotide transfer RNA is filed under the name Acholeplasma sp. Its description in RNAcentral is "tRNA-Asn". It matches the Rfam family "tRNA". Rfam says of the family: Transfer RNA (tRNA) molecules are approximately 80 nucleotides in length. Their secondary structure includes four short double-helical elements and three loops (D, anti-codon, and T loops). Further hydrogen bonds mediate the characteristic L-shaped molecular structure. tRNAs have two regions of fundamental functional importance: the anti-codon, which is responsible for specific mRNA codon recognition, and the 3' end, to which the tRNAs corresponding amino acid is attached (by aminoacyl-tRNA synthetases). tRNAs cope with the degeneracy of the genetic code in two manners: having more than one tRNA (with a specific anti-codon) for a particular amino acid; and 'wobble' base-pairing, i.e. permitting non-standard base-pairing at the 3rd anti-codon position. Lineage: Bacteria; Bacillati; Mycoplasmatota; Mollicutes; Acholeplasmatales; Acholeplasmataceae. The record is from RNAcentral.